GUGUGCUCUUGCAAAACCUCAGUCAGAGCAGAAGGCUGCUGGAGGCUCAAACUUGCAGAAUACAGGUUUGUUACCAGGUUACCCACCUGGUGUUGGUUAUGGUAUGAUGGGGAAUGCCUAUGGUGCUCUUGGAGCAGGAUAUGUUACAGCAGGCUUUGCACAGGUCAGAAGAUAUGACUCAUUGUACACUUAGUAAUCUUAUUUUGAACUACUUGGUCUGGAUGGCUAUCUUCUAUAUAUAUUUUGCUCAUUAACCAUUUUGGAUAUAGCCUUAAUGUGAAAGAGGAUUACCUGACAUCUUUUCUAGUGAAUUUUGAGCUUUGGCUGUGGCUUUAUGAUACAUAUGCAUCAAGAUUAACUGAUCUCCUUUUCAUUCUGGUGAAAUCCAGUUUCUGUGCUAUUAUAAUGGGAUGGUUUUUAUUAUAAGCCUUACAAUUGUAGAUCAUUAUGUUCCAUGUGUCCAACUUUAGGAGAGAAGCUCCUGACUGAAGCCGAUUCUUAUUGGUGUAGCGUAAUUCAGGCACUUGCUAUUUUCACCUCCCAUCUCCUCAUUUUCCUCCCACUCUAGUUUGUUGUUAUUCGGUUUGAGCUUCAAACUUUUGGUCAAUGAGCUAUACAAAAGAUGUAAUUAAAUUUAUGCUAUUGACACCUCAUUAGAAGCUGCAGAAUGCUGGGAUGAUAGAUUCUACUAGUACAAUUCAUUUAUUUGUUUCUUCUUUGUUAAAACUUAAAUUCUGCAGUUUCUAGCUUUCAGCCAAUAUUAAAGUCAUCCCUUAUUUUUUUAGCAGCCGUUGAUCUAUGGAAGUGGACCAUCCCCUGCUGGCAUGGCAAUGAUGCCAAUGCUUCUACCUGAUGGGCAGUUCGGAUAUGUGCUGUAAGCUGACCCGGAGAUCCUUUACCUUUUGAUUUCUUACAUUUUUAUCUCCGAAUGGAGGGUGUGGAAUCUUAUCAAACUCAUC
Molecule: long non-coding RNA, 959 nt
Filed under: Populus trichocarpa (black cottonwood)
Lineage: Eukaryota; Viridiplantae; Streptophyta; Magnoliopsida; Malpighiales; Salicaceae
Description: long non-coding RNA (PTRI_LNC002392)
Source: RNAcentral